This 486-nucleotide ribosomal RNA is filed under the name uncultured bacterium. Its description in RNAcentral is "SSU rRNA". It matches the Rfam family "Bacterial small subunit ribosomal RNA", at positions 26 to 518 of the family's 1533-position model. The record is from RNAcentral.
AGGACGAACGCUGGCGGCGUGCCUCAUACAUGCAAGUGGAGCGACGAACCAGGAUUUAUCCUGGGGCAAAGCCGCGAACGGGUGAGUAACACGUGGGUUACCUGCCCCGAUGAUUGGGACAACCCGAGGAAAACUCGGGCUAAUACCAAAUGUGUUCUUGGUCGUGAUGACCAAGAAGAAAGGAAGCCUCGGCCUCCGCAUCGGGAUGGGCCCGCGGCCCAUUAGCUAGUUGGUGGGGUAAUGGCCUACCAAGGCGACGAUGGGUAGCUGGUCUGAGAGGACGAUCAGCCACACUGGGACUGAGACACGGCCCAGACUCCUACGGGAGGCAGCAGUGGGGAAUAUUGCGCAAUGGGCGAAAGCCUGACGCAGCGACGCCGCGUGGGGGAUGAAGGCCUUCGGGUUGUAAACCCCUUUCAGCAGGGACGAAGCGAAAGUGACGGUACCUGCAGAAGAAGCGCCGGCUAACUACGUGCCAGCAGCCGC